GAGUUUGAUCGUGGCUCAGAGUGAACGCUGGCGGUAGGCCUAACACAUGCAAGUCGAACGGCAGCACAGAGGAGCUUGCUCCUUGGGUGGCGAGUGGCGGACGGGUGAGGAAUACAUCGGAAUCUACUCUGUCGUGGGGGAUAACGUAGGGAAACUUACGCUAAUACCGCAUACGACCUACGGGUGAAAGCAGGGGAUCUUCGGACCUUGCGCGAUUGAAUGAGCCGAUGUCGGAUUAGCUAGUUGGCGGGUAAAGGCCCACCAAGGCGACGAUCCGUAGCUGGUCUGAGAGGAUGAUCAGCCACACUGGAACUGAGACACGGUCCAGACUCCUACGGGAGGCAGCAGUGGGGAAUAUUGGACAAUGGGCGCAAGCCUGAUCCAGCCAUACCGCGUGGGUGAAGAAGGCCUUCAGGUUGUAAAGACCCUUUGUUGGGUAAGAAAGUCCAGCUGGCUAUACCCGGUUGGGAGUGACGGUACCCAAAGAAUAAGCA
RNAcentral lists this ribosomal RNA (494 nucleotides) under uncultured microorganism. RNAcentral's name for it is "bacterial SSU rRNA". It matches the Rfam family "Bacterial small subunit ribosomal RNA", at positions 9 to 492 of the family's 1533-position model. The record is from RNAcentral.